Molecule: ribosomal RNA, 468 nt
Filed under: uncultured bacterium
Lineage: Bacteria
Description: partial 16S ribosomal RNA
Rfam family: Bacterial small subunit ribosomal RNA
Source: RNAcentral
GACGAACGCUGGCGGCGUGCUUAACACAUGCAAGUCGAACGGAAAGGCCCUGCUUUUGUGGGGUGCUCGAGUGGCGAACGGGUGAGUAACACGUGAGUAACCUGCCCUUGACUUUGGGAUAACUUCAGGAAAAUGGGGCUAAUACCGGAUAGGAGCUCCUGCUGCAUGGUGGGGGUUGGAAAGUUUCGGCGGUUGGGGAUGGACUCGCGGCUUAUCAGCUUGUUGGUGGGGUAGUGGCUUACCAAGGCUUUGACGGGUAGCCGGCCUGAGAGGGUGACCGGCCACAUUGGGACUGAGAUACGGCCCAGACUCCUACGGGAGGCAGCAGUGGGGAAUCUUGCACAAUGGGCGGAAGCCUGAUGCAGCAACGCCGCGUGCGGGAUGACGGCCUUCGGGUUGUAAACCGCUUUCGCCUGUGACGAAGCGUGAGUGACGGUAAUGGGUAAAGAAGCACCGGCUAACUACGUG